CCUACGGGUGGCAGCAGUGGGGAAUAUUGCACAAUGGGGGAAACCCUGAUGCAGCGACGCCGCGUGAGCGAGGAAGUAUUUCGGUAUGUUAAGCUCUAUCAGCAGGGACGAAAAACGACGGUACCUGACUAAGAAGCCCCGGCUAACUACGUGCCACCAGCCGCGGGAAUACGGAGGGGGCAAGCGUUAUCCGGAGUUACUGGGUGUAAAGGGAGCGUAGACGGGAAGGAAAGCCAGAAGUGAAAGUGUAGGGCUCAACCCUGUACAUGCUGUUGAAACUGGGGUGCUAGAGUGCAGGAGAGGUAAGCGGAAUGCGUGGUGUAGCGGUGAAAUGCGUAGAUAUUAGGCAGAACACCGGUUGCGAAGGCAGCUUACUGGACCGUAACUGACGUUGAGGCACGAAAGCGUGGGGAGCAAACAGGAUUAGAUACCCGAGUAGUC
This 441-nucleotide ribosomal RNA is filed under the name uncultured bacterium. Its description in RNAcentral is "partial 16S ribosomal RNA". It matches the Rfam family "Bacterial small subunit ribosomal RNA", at positions 338 to 795 of the family's 1533-position model. The record is from RNAcentral.